AAUGGGUCAGCGACUUAUAUUCUGUAGCAAGGUUAACCGAAUAGGGGAGCCGAAGGGAAACCGAGUCUUAACUGGGCGUUAAGUUGCAGGGUAUAGACCCGAAACCCGGUGAUCUAGCCAUGGGCAGGUUGAAGGUUGGGUAACACUAACUGGAGGACCGAACCGACUAAUGUUGAAAAAUUAGCGGAUGACUUGUGGCUGGGGGUGAAAGGCCAAUCAAACCGGGAGAUAGCUGGUUCUCCCCGAAAGCUAUUUAGGUAGCGCCUCGUGAAUUCAUCUCCGGGGGUAGAGCACUGUUUCGGCAAGGGGGUCAUCCCGACUUACCAACCCGAUGCAAACUGCGAAUACCGGAGAAUGUUAUCACGGGAGACACACGGCGGGUGCUAACGUCCGUCGUGAAGAGGGAAACAACCCAGACCGCCAGCUAAGGUCCCAAAGUCAUGGUUAAGUGGGAAACGAUGUGGGAAGGCCCAGACAGCCAGGAUGUUGGCUUAGAAGCAGCCAUCAUUUAAAGAAAGCGUAAUAGCUCACUGGUCGAGUCGGCCUGCGCGGAAGAUGUAACGGGGCUAAACCAUGCACCGAAGCUGCGGCAGCGACACUAAGUGUUGUUGGGUAGGGGAGCGUUCUGUAAGCCUGUGAAGGUGUACUGUGAGGUAUGCUGGAGGUAUCAGAAGUGCGAAUGCUGACAUAAGUAACGAUAAAGCGGGUGAAAAGCCCGCUCGCCGGAAGACCAAGGGUUCCUGUCCAACGUUAAUCGGGGCAGGGUGAGUCGACCCCUAAGGCGAGGCCGAAAGGCGUAGUCGAUGGGAAACAGGUUAAUAUUCCUGUACUUGGUGUUACUGCGAAGGGGGGACGGAGAAGGCUAUGUUGGCCGGGCGACGGUUGUCCCGGUUUAAGCGUGUAGGCUGGUUUUCCAGGCAAAUCCGGAAAAUCAAGGCUGAGGCGUGAUGACGAGGCACUACGGUGCUGAAGCAACAAAUGCCCUGCUUCCAGGAAAAGCCUCUAAGCAUCAGGUAACAUCAAAUCGUACCCCAAACCGACACAGGUGGUCAGGUAGAGAAUACCAAGGCGCUUGAGAGAACUCGGGUGAAGGAACUAGGCAAAAUGGUGCCGUAACUUCGGGAGAAGGCACGCUGAUAUGUAGGUGAAGCGACUUGCUCGUGGAGCUGAAAUCAGUCGAAGAUACCAGCUGGCUGCAACUGUUUAUUAAAAACACAGCACUGUGCAAACACGAAAGUGGACGUAUACGGUGUGACGCCUGCCCGGUGCCGGAAGGUUAAUUGAUGGGGUUAGCGCAAGCGAAGCUCUUGAUCGAAGCCCCGGUAAACGGCGGCCGUAACUAUAACGGUCCUAAGGUAGCGAAAUUCCUUGUCGGGUAAGUUCCGACCUGCACGAAUGGCGUAAUGAUGGCCAGGCUGUCUCCACCCGAGACUCAGUGAAAUUGAACUCGCUGUGAAGAUGCAGUGUACCCGCGGCAAGACGGAAAGACCCCGUGAACCUUUACUAUAGCUUGACACUGAACAUUGAGCCUUGAUGUGUAGGAUAGGUGGGAGGCUUUGAAGUGUGGACGCCAGUCUGCAUGGAGCCGACCUUGAAAUACCACCCUUUAAUGUUUGAUGUUCUAACGUUGGCCCCUGAUCGGGGUUGCGGACAGUGUCUGGUGGGUAGUUUGACUGGGGCGGUCUCCUCCUAAAGAGUAACGGAGGAGCACGAAGGUUGGCUAAUCCUGGUCGGACAUCAGGAGGUUAGUGCAAUGGCAUAAGCCAGCUUGACUGCGAGCGUGACGGCGCGAGCAGGUGCGAAAGCAGGUCAUAGUGAUCCGGUGGUUCUGAAUGGAAGGGCCAUCGCUCAACGGAUAAAAGGUACUCCGGGGAUAACAGGCUGAUACCGCCCAAGAGUUCAUAUCGACGGCGGUGUUUGGCACCUCGAUGUCGGCUCAUCACAUCCUGGGGCUGAAGUAGGUCCCAAGGGUAUGGCUGUUCGCCAUUUAAAGUGGUACGCGAGCUGGGUUUAGAACGUCGUGAGACAGUUCGGUCCCUAUCUGCCGUGGGCGCUGGAGAACUGAGGGGGGCUGCUCCUAGUACGAGAGGACCGGAGUGGACGCAUCACUGGUGUUCGGGUUGUCAUGCCAAUGGCACUGCCCGGUAGCUAAAUGCGGAAGAGAUAAGUGCUGAAAGCAUCUAAGCACGAAACUUGCCCCGAGAUGAGUUCUCCCUGACUCCUUGAGAGUCCUGAAGGAACGUUGAAGACGACGACGUUGAUAGGCCGGGUGUGUAAGCGCAGCGAUGCGUUGAGCUAACCGGUACUAAUGAACCGUGAGGCUUAACCUUACAACGC
This 2337-nucleotide ribosomal RNA is filed under the name Escherichia coli. RNAcentral describes it as "partial 23S ribosomal RNA". It matches the Rfam family "Bacterial large subunit ribosomal RNA", at positions 614 to 2925 of the family's 2925-position model. The record is from RNAcentral. Lineage: Bacteria; Pseudomonadati; Pseudomonadota; Gammaproteobacteria; Enterobacterales; Enterobacteriaceae.